This 85-nucleotide transfer RNA is filed under the name Felis catus (domestic cat). It matches the Rfam family "tRNA". From Rfam's summary of the family: Transfer RNA (tRNA) molecules are approximately 80 nucleotides in length. Their secondary structure includes four short double-helical elements and three loops (D, anti-codon, and T loops). Further hydrogen bonds mediate the characteristic L-shaped molecular structure. tRNAs have two regions of fundamental functional importance: the anti-codon, which is responsible for specific mRNA codon recognition, and the 3' end, to which the tRNAs corresponding amino acid is attached (by aminoacyl-tRNA synthetases). tRNAs cope with the degeneracy of the genetic code in two manners: having more than one tRNA (with a specific anti-codon) for a particular amino acid; and 'wobble' base-pairing, i.e. permitting non-standard base-pairing at the 3rd anti-codon position. Lineage: Eukaryota; Metazoa; Chordata; Mammalia; Carnivora; Felidae. The record is from Rfam by way of RNAcentral.
ACCUGGGUGGCUCAGUCGGUUAAGCAUCCGACUUCGGCUCGGGUCAUGAUCUCACAGUUUGUGGGUUCGAGCCCCACAUCGGGCU